RNAcentral lists this ribosomal RNA (492 nucleotides) under uncultured bacterium. RNAcentral describes it as "partial 16S ribosomal RNA". It matches the Rfam family "Bacterial small subunit ribosomal RNA", at positions 29 to 507 of the family's 1533-position model. The record is from RNAcentral.
AGUGAACGCUGGCGGUAUGCCUAACACAUGCAAGUCGAACGGCAGCACAGUAAUAUCUUGCUCUUACGGGUUGCGAGUGGCGGACGGGUGAGGAAUACAUCGUAAUCUACUUUUUCGUGGGGGAUAACGUAGGUAAACUUACUCUAAUACCGCAUACGACCUACGGUUGAAAGCAUUGGAUCUUCUGACCUUGCGCGAUUGAAUGAGCCGAUGUCGGAUUAGAUAGUGGGCGGGUUAAAUGCCCAGCAAGUCGACGAUCCGCAGCUGGUGUGAGAGGAUGAUCAGCCACACUGGAACUGAGACACGGUCAAGACGCCUACGGGACGGAGCAGUGGGGAAUGUUAGACAAUGGGCGGGAGUAUUGUCCAGUCAUAGCGAGUGGGUGAAGAAGGCGUUGGGGUUGUAAAGACCUUUUGUUGGGAAAGAAACGCAGCAGGUUAAUACGAAGCUGUUCUGACGGUAACCAAAGAAUAAGCACCGGCUAACUUCGUG